GACGAACGCUGGCGGCGUGCCUAAUACAUGCAAGUAGAACGCACAGUUUAUACCGUAGCUUGCUACACCAUAGACUGUGAGUUGCGAACGGGUGAGUAACGCGUAGGUAACCUGCCUGGUAGCGGGGGAUAACUAUUGGAAACGAUAGCUAAUACCGCAUAAUAUUAAUUAUUGCAUGAUAAUUGAUUGAAAGAUGCAACUGCAUCACUACCAGAUGGACCUGCGUUGUAUUAGCUAGUAGGUGGGGUAACGGCUCACCUAGGCGACGAUACAUAGCCGACCUGAGAGGGUGAUCGGCCACACUGGGACUGAGACACGGCCCAGACUCCUACGGGAGGCAGCAGUAGGGAAUCUUCGGCAAUGGACGAAAGUCUGACCGAGCAACGCCGCGUGAGUGAAGAAGGUUUUCGGAUCGUAAAGCUCUGUUGUAAGAGAAGAACGGGUGUGAGAGUGGAAAGUUCACACUGUGACGGUAUCUUACCAGAAAGGGACGGCUAACUACGUG
Molecule: ribosomal RNA, 505 nt
Filed under: uncultured bacterium
Lineage: Bacteria
Description: partial 16S ribosomal RNA
Rfam family: Bacterial small subunit ribosomal RNA
Source: RNAcentral